Nematostella vectensis (starlet sea anemone) is the source of this 944-nucleotide long non-coding RNA. RefSeq lists it as uncharacterized. The record is from RefSeq and is a predicted model, not a curated record. The transcript is spliced from 3 exons. NCBI's taxonomy places the organism in Eukaryota, Metazoa, Cnidaria, Anthozoa, Actiniaria, Edwardsiidae.
GUAAGAAGGUAAACCACUGUCAUCACCUAUCGUGAAGGGAAAUAUUUUUUCAUAAGUGCUUUAAGGCGUUUUUCGAUGUUGUCUAAUAUCCCUGGGGAUAAUGCGGAGAAUUUCUUUUGUACUUCUUUGUUCGUCAGUGUGAGGAAUAUUCCAAGACUCAAAGCUAUCAACGGAUAUCCUCGAAACAUGGAAAAUUGUUGGCCUAUAAGCUGAUGAGGGAGAAGGCGAGAGGACUGUUUCUACCCGAUGUUUGCUGUCUAAAACUGCCCCCAAACAUGCACUCAAUGUCUUAGAAUGCCCCACCCUCUCCUACCCUCCACUCACCGCCACACCAGCCAGAUGGCGCGAAGCGAGCGUGAGGACAUAGCCAAGUCUCUUCAUGAAGGGGAAUAUCCUGAAGGCGUGGAGCGUCCUGACCAUCAACAGGAAGACCAUCAGCGAAUACAGAAAUGCAAAGAGGAGUUCCCCGCCUGUGGUUACCUUGCAUAUCUUGCAGAGAACGCCAAGGGCUGUCUUAACAUAGCUGCUUUGGAAGGAAUGCACGGUCACACGACUUUCAAGCUCCCCUACUAAUGAUGUCGUUAACUCCCAUGAUACAGUGCUGCACAAAAAAGAAGAUACAUGUGAUCAAUGACACGAGCGGACUUGGCACAAAGCUAGAAGGUAAAUUUGUGGUACGAGUCAAUAUUCGAGAACUUACCUAGACAUAUUAUUGGUAGGUGUGAACAGGCUGAACUGAACAAUGAUCUGUUGGAUGCAGGGCGUGAGGGAUCUCAGCAUUUUCUUCAUGUCCAUAUGUGCGUGAGACCUUCAAACGAGACGAAAAAUAAAUGUAAAAAAGGACCAUCACCUAUAUGUCUCCCGUCGCACCGAAGUUGGACACCAACUGCAAAACGAAAUUAACGCCACACUUUGACAGGAAUAAAUGUUAACUAAAAACAAAA